AUUGAACGCUGGCGGCAGGCCUAACACAUGCAAGUCGAACGGUAGCACAGAGGAGCUUGCUCCUUGGGUGACGAGUGGCGGACGGGUGAGUAAUGUCUGGGAAACUGCCUGAUGGAGGGGGAUAACUACUGGAAACGGUAGCUAAUACCGCAUAACGUCGCAAGACCAAAGAGGGGGACCUUCGGACCUCUUGCUAUCAGCUGUGCCCAGAUGGGAUUAGCUAGUAGGUGGGGUAAUGGCUCACCUAGGCGACGAUCCCUAGCUGGUAUGAGAGGAUGACCAGCCACACUGGAAGGGAGACACGGUCAACGCGCCGACGGGAGGCAGCAGCGGGGCAUAUUGCACAAUGGGCGCAAGCACGAUGCAGCCAUGCCGCGUGUAUGAGGAAGGCCGUCGGGUUGCAAAGUACGUUCAGCCGGGAGGAAGGCGAUACGGUGAAUAACCGUGUGGAUGGACGUUACCCGCAGAAGAAGCGCCGGGUAACGCCGUGCGAGCCGCGGCGGUUA
This 506-nucleotide ribosomal RNA is filed under the name uncultured bacterium. Its description in RNAcentral is "partial 16S ribosomal RNA". It matches the Rfam family "Bacterial small subunit ribosomal RNA", at positions 29 to 523 of the family's 1533-position model. The record is from RNAcentral.